Phragmites australis (common reed) is the source of this 106-nucleotide small nucleolar RNA. NCBI's taxonomy places the organism in Eukaryota, Viridiplantae, Streptophyta, Magnoliopsida, Poales, Poaceae. The record is from RefSeq and is a predicted model, not a curated record.
UUGGAGGCCGUGAUGCGUACUGAUAAGGGAUUUUCUGAGGGACGGAGGCCACCUUGUUUCCGCCCUGCUGACUGAGAGAAACCAAUGGAUCCUUCUGAGCCUGCCC